Sinocyclocheilus anshuiensis is the source of this 180-nucleotide long non-coding RNA. RefSeq lists it as uncharacterized. The record is from RefSeq and is a predicted model, not a curated record. NCBI's taxonomy places the organism in Eukaryota, Metazoa, Chordata, Actinopteri, Cypriniformes, Cyprinidae. The transcript has 3 exons.
UAAAUUUCACAUUCAUAAAUGCAAGUUUACAAAAGGCAAACCUCUUUUUAUGGUGCUUGGAAAAGAGAUUAAAAUGUUUGUAGAUGUGAUGUCAAAAUCUAAAAAUAGUAAAGCAAUUAAAACGAUUAAUAUAUGCUCCUCCUUUAACAUUUUCACAUAAUAAAGAUCGGAAAGCACACG